GCCAGGUGCAGUGGCUCAUGCCUGUAAUCCCAGCACUUUGGGGCCGAGGCAGGAGAAUCGCUUGAAGCUGGGAGGCAGAGGUUCCAGUAAGCCAAGAUGGUGCCACUGCACUCUAGCCUGGGCAACAUGAGUGAAACUCCAUCUCAAANNNNNNNNNNUUUGAGAUGGAGUUUCACUCAUGUUGCCCAGGCUAGAGUGCAGUGGCACCAUCUUGGCUUACUGGAACCUCUGCCUCCCAGCUUCAAGCGAUUCUCCUGCCUCAG
RNAcentral lists this signal recognition particle RNA (263 nucleotides) under Chlorocebus sabaeus (green monkey). RNAcentral's name for it is "Metazoan signal recognition particle RNA". It matches the Rfam family "Metazoan signal recognition particle RNA". From Rfam's summary of the family: The signal recognition particle (SRP) is a universally conserved ribonucleoprotein. Lineage: Eukaryota; Metazoa; Chordata; Mammalia; Primates; Cercopithecidae. The record is from Rfam by way of RNAcentral.